UACGUAGGUGGCAAGCGUUAUCCGGAAUUAUUGGGCGUAAAGAGCGCGCAGGUGGUUGAUUAAGUCUGAUGUGAAAGCCCACGGCUUAACCGUGGAAGGUCAUUGGAAACUGGUCGACUUGAGUGCAGAAGAGGGAAGUGGAAUUCCAUGUGUAGCGGUGAAAUGCGUAGAGAUAUGGAGGAACACCAGUGGCGAAGGCGGCUUCCUGGUCUGUAACUGACACUGAGGCGCGAAAGCGUGGGGAGCAAACAGGAUUAGAUA
This 261-nucleotide ribosomal RNA is filed under the name uncultured prokaryote. RNAcentral's name for it is "partial 16S ribosomal RNA". It matches the Rfam family "Bacterial small subunit ribosomal RNA", at positions 524 to 784 of the family's 1533-position model. The record is from RNAcentral.